CGAAAGGCAGGGUUGCUGGAGGCGCGCGUAGGUUCGAGUAGGGACUGGAAUGCGGGCCAACAGUGUGGGGGUUAUUAGGGGGGAGGGUAGGCAGGUCGGAGGAGGGAGUUGGGAGGAAAGCGGCGGCGGUGGCGGCUUCAACAGCAGCUCUUGCCCUUAAGGAACAAUGCCUCCAGUCGGAUCCUGCGUCAUUCUGGCUGCCUUGGCCUUUCCUUUCCUCAGUUGAGCCAGCCACAGCAUGUUCCGAAGAGAUGAUUGGAAGAUGGAAGUGGAGGGUUAAAUAAUGAAAUGCAGCUAACAUUUCGGAAAGUUUCUAAAAGUUGUACAACAUGCCCUACAGCUACUCUUUAAAUCUCCAAAUCAAAUGAGUUUCAGGUGGAGCCUCUGGGAGGUGAUGAGGUCAUGAGAGUGGAGCCUCAUGAAUGGGAUGAGCACUCCUACAAAAAGGAUUCCAGAGAGCUCGCUUGCUCCUUCCACAGUGUGAGGACACAGAGGGAAGGCUCUGUCUAUGAAUGAGAAAGUGGGUCCCCACCAGACAUUGAAUCUGCCGCAUCUUGAUACUGGACUUCCAGUCUCCAGAACUGUGGGCAAUAAAUGUCUGUUGUUUAUUACCUGUCCAGUAUCUUUGGUAUUUUGCUAUAGCAACCCAAAUGGACUAAGAAAACACCAGAGGCCAUACCUAAUAAAAAU
This 690-nucleotide long non-coding RNA is filed under the name Homo sapiens (human). RNAcentral describes it as "HSALNT0409449". Lineage: Eukaryota; Metazoa; Chordata; Mammalia; Primates; Hominidae. The record is from RNAcentral.